Molecule: long non-coding RNA, 1239 nt
Filed under: Chloebia gouldiae (Gouldian finch)
Lineage: Eukaryota; Metazoa; Chordata; Aves; Passeriformes; Passeridae
Description: Erythrura gouldiae (Gouldian finch) lncRNA (ENSEGOG00005018604.1)
Source: RNAcentral
CAGGGGUCACCGGGGUCACAGGGGGUCACCGGGGGUCAGCAGGGGUCACAGGGGGUCAGCAGGGGUCACAGGGGGUCAGCGGGGGGUCAGCGGGGCCACCAGGGGUCAUCAAUGGCCACCCAAGGUCACCAUGGGCCACCGGGGGUCACUGGGGCCACCAGGGGUCAUCAAUGGCCACCCAAGGUCAUCAAUGGCCACCAGGGGUCAUCGAUGUCCACCCAAGAUCACUGGGGGCCAUCAGGGGUCAUCGGGGCCACCAGAGGUCAUCGAUGGCCACCCAAGGUCAACAAUGUCCACCCAAGGUCAUCGGGGCCACCAGAGGUCAUUGAGGCCACCAGAGAUCAUGGAUGGCCACCAGAGGUCAUCAAUGCCCACCCAAGCUCAUCAAUGGCCACCCAACGUCACCAGGGACCACCAGAGGUCAUCGAUGGCCACCCAAGGUCACCGGGGGCCACCAGGGGUCAUUGGGGGCACCCAAGGUCACUGGGGCCAACAGAGGUCACCGGAGGCCACCAGAGGUCAUCGAUGUCCACCCAAGGUCAUCAGGAGUCACCACAGGUCACCGGGGCCACCAAAAGUCAUCAGGGGCCACCAAAGGUCACCAGGGGCCACCAAGGGCCAUCAGAGGUCAUCAAUGUCCACCCAAGGGUCACCAGGGGCCACCAAAAGUCAUCAGAAUCCACCAAGGGUCCCCAGAGGUCUCCAAAGGUCAUCAGGAGCCACCACAGGUCACCGGGGGCUACCAGAGGUCACCAGGGGCCACCAGAGGUCAUCGAUGUCCAUCCAAGGUCACCAGGGGCCACCAAGGGUCACCGGGGCCAUCAAAAGUCAUCAGAGGUCACCAGAGGUCACCGGGGCUCAUUGGGGGCCACCAAGGGCCACCAGAGGACAUCGAUGUCCACCCAAGGUCACUGGGGCCACCAAAGGUCACCGGGGGCCACCAAAGGUCACCGGGGGCCACCAAAGGUCACCGGGGGCCACCACAGGUCACCUGAAACGCUGGCACCUGCCCCAGGUGUGUGCCCAGCUGUGUCUCACAGGUGUUCCUCCCCAGGUGUGCCCAGGUACAACCCCAGGUACCGCCCAGGUGCCCCCAGGAGCCCCCAGGUACCCCAAGAUCCCCCCCAGGUACCCCCAGGUACCCCCCAGGUACCCCCCAGGUACCCCCAAGAUGCCCUCCAGAUACCCCCAGAUACCCCCAGGUACCCCCAAAUACCCCCAGAUACCCCCAGGUACCCC